UAAGUGAUGUUUGGGAAGGAAAUUGUGAUAAGUUUUGAGAAUUUCUCAUCUUAUUUCAUUACUCAAACGUACCCUUAAACUAGUUUACCUUUAUAUACUUCUAAAUGUAGCCUUUUUGUUCAAUUGGCUUUCCCCCUUUUUUCUCGCCCUUUUCUUUCCGCCAUCCCUCAAAAUAGGUUAGCAGGGCCCUGUACAUAGAACUAGGGGUGCUAUCUGCACCCCCUGAGGCAGGGGAAACUGCAUCCCGCACCCCGCACCCGCCCUAGCGGGGGAUGUGGUUUCCCCUUGGGAUCCGGCUCUGCCCCUAGGGGGCCCCCGUCCAGGGCAAAUGGACCUAGGGCCCAUUGGGCUCAGAACCUCUUUCUGGGCCAUUUUGGGCCCAUACUAUCAAGGAUUGUAGAUUAGAUCAUUGAGAAUUUGCAUUUAGGGUUGGAACUUGGGCAAGUGAGGGUGUGAGACUAUAAAACUUGAAAA
Long non-coding RNA from Juglans microcarpa x Juglans regia, 474 nucleotides. RefSeq lists it as uncharacterized. The record is from RefSeq and is a predicted model, not a curated record. The transcript is spliced from 2 exons. Lineage: Eukaryota; Viridiplantae; Streptophyta; Magnoliopsida; Fagales; Juglandaceae.